This is a long non-coding RNA of Olea europaea var. sylvestris, 5213 nucleotides long. RefSeq lists it as uncharacterized. The record is from RefSeq and is a predicted model, not a curated record. The transcript is spliced from 2 exons. NCBI's taxonomy places the organism in Eukaryota, Viridiplantae, Streptophyta, Magnoliopsida, Lamiales, Oleaceae.
UGGUUUUGCUUGGUUGUGUUUAUAUGUGACACCCGUGAGAAUAUAUAGGGUCUUGACUGCUUUUAGUUACAGCAUAUAACUGGUCCUUUAUCUGAUUGGAUUUCUAUGAUCAGUGUCCUGGCAUUUCCUUAGUAUAUUCUUUUAUAUAGUUAACCUGAACGCUUUCAUUAUCAAACUUGUCUUAAACACGUGAUAUUAUAAUUUGCAAUGAAGAGUGCUUAUAUUUUCCCUUCCGUUUGCGUCAUUACGUCAUAUAUUAUCCAGAACAUGCAAGGAAUACAUGAUUGCACAUGCUAAAGUUUUUAAUAUUAUGAUUUAAGUUAAACCAUCAUUGUGAUGUUUAUAUUUGAACGUACAGUAGUUGGUUCUAUCUUAGUUGUAUGCAUCUGAUAAAGUUGCACUGCGUCUGAUCCAUGUUUGGUUAUUCUGGAGGAUUGUUUGCUCUGGAGGUGUUCAGAUGCUGAUUUGAAGUGAGAAAUUGCUUCUUUUUGUGCUUUUAGGGUUCACUCUUGCGCAUCUGCAAUUCCAGUAAGUAACCCCUAUUUUCAUUUAUUGUCCCGCAUUUAUCUAUUUUAGAUAACAAAAUGAGUUAAUGACAUUAACUGCUUAUGGUUCCAAAUAUUCAUGGGUGCUCCUCUAGUUCCUUCCAAUGUAUUUCCUAGUUAAUAUUUGGAGGUUUUUUCAGCCUUUUGAUUUGCAUGCCAUUUGCUUGGGUUUUCUACAAUAAUCCUUUGGCCUUGGUGCAUUUCUGGCUAUGCUUAAAAAAAGAAACUACUAAUAUGAAUAUAAGUUUUAAAACGAAUUCUUUUUAUUGGUGGAAGUUGAAAAUUUGGAAGUUAGGUGUGUGAAAGUAACCUCUACAUUAUUGUCAAAUUGAGUAAACCUCUACUUAUUAAGAAUUUAAUUUUAUUUAUUUAUUAUUUUUUUUCAAACAUGUUUGGAAAAAAUGUUGAAGUAAAUUUUAUUGACUUUUAAGCUUAACCUAACAUGCUGUCAGUAAUGCCAUCCAAUGUUUGAAAAAAAAUCAGCUGCGCCAAGUGUAAGAACACUACAGCUGUGCCACUCUUUUCACAUGUUUGAAAUUUGGAUAUUGACUAUUAAGUAUGAGAACACUACUUAUCCGAUCAAGGUACUAUUGCACACUAUCCUUUCCUCAUUGAUGCUGUACAGAUGAUAUCUGCUGUGGUCCAAUUCUGCUCUGGUGUUGUGAAUACCUCUGUUGAAAUCUCCUUAGGCCAUCCUAGAGGGCUUGUAAUUCAUCUCCUUAGGCCAUCCUAGAGGGCUUGUAAUUCAUCUAACUAAUUAGUUUCAUAACCAUAGUAAUAUCAUUAAGCAAAUGUGAUGUUGUGAUCUCGCUAGAUUCCUGCCUCCAAUCACUUCCUGGGAAUCCAUCUGAAUUUAAUUUCAUGAAGGCAAAUAAAGGUUUUAUCCAGUCAACAAUAAUUGGCAAUCUCUCCUUCGUAUUUUCUACUAAUGAACUCCAAAUCCCCUAGCCGCCUCCAGAUUCCAGCUUUUAAAAUCAAAGAAUUUAGCUCUGAGGUGUACUAUUUUUUUCAGUAGCAAUGGCUUUCCUUUACUGCCAUGGUAUUUAGUGUCAUUCCUUUCCACCUAUACAAACAAAUGUAUGAGCAAAAGAAUGAUGGUACGAAUGCAUGCAGGAGUAACAGUUACCUGAGAAAUGCCAGGCCUGUAAGCAUACUCUCAUUCAACCUGGCUGGGAGAUUGAAUUUGAAUAAAUCGGUAAUAUGAGCCUCAACAUGAGAUGGCAGAAUGCUAUGCAAAAAUUAACGGAAUAAUUUUACCAGCUUUAUAGAAAUGGCACUUCAAGGCCAUCCGGACAUUUCUCCUAUGUUGCAAUUUCUCGUCUGUGGAGAUUCGUCCAUGUCAUGGUUCCUGGCAAAAGAGAAAAAUAUUUUUAACAGAUACAUUUGUGCAAACAAACCUACUGGAAUCUUUAUGAAAAUGUUUAUCCGAUCAUAUUCCAACCAUCCUUCAUUACAGAACUUCUAUCAUAGGAAUUAUCUUCCGGAAUAGAAGACUCUGUGUUGUGGUAAUUGGGAUUUGGGUAAUCUUCUUGACAAAAUUUGGCUUGAAGACUUGUUCCAGCUUGUUAGCAUCCCAUACCACUCAUUGAAGAAAUAUCAUACCUUUGCAGAUGUUCCCCUCUCCUUUUCCAGAAGUUUAUUUAAUUCUCUUCUAAUUUCCAAGCAAUAUAUAUCCCGCAGGUCAUAUGUCUUAGUAAGACAUUUUCAGAUUUUAGACCUGUUAUUUCUAACCUCUGCUGGAAAUCACCUACUUUGUGUAUCUAUCAUUUCAGAUCCAGGCCCAAAGAGACUCAUGUGCUGUAAACCUCCAUCGUAUUUCCAUACAGAACAAUCUUAGAUAGAUCCUUAAUCUCUUACUCCGAGCCCUCUCUCUGCCCAUGAAUAACACAGCUUCUGCCAAGAUACCCAGUGCAGUUGACUAUGGCUGUUCACGUCUCCCCAUAUGAAGCUAUAUAAAAUAUUUUUAAUGUACAGUAAACAAUUUGGAGGCUUCAGAACUUGCAAUAUGAAGAUUGGAAUAGAAGAAACAACUAUUUGAGCAAGAUGAAUCUAACUCCUGUUGGAAGGAAUUUAUACUCCUACCUGAAAAUUUUCCUCUAAUGUUAUUCAGAAAAUUGUUAAGAGAAAAUGUUUUUUUAACCUUAUAUAGAGGGCACCUUGAUAAUGAUUGGAGGAGAUUUUUGAUGAUGAAAUCCAGUAGCAUCCGAUUGGAGGCUGUAAGCUUGUUCAAUCGAUUCAAUAUUGAUGAAUCUAGAAAAGAGGGUUGAGGGUUGGAACAAACAUAAAACAAGAGUUCUUGGGAAUGCCUUGGGACUUCUUGAUUGGUUCAGCUAAACUAUAGUGCGAAGUUGUGUCUAUUUGGUUAAUAAGAUCCGAAAGGUCUAUCAUUUCAGAUUGUGCAGAUUAUGAUAAGCUUAUAGAAACUAUUGUGUGCCAAAUAAUACUUGUGUUUGUUCAGAAAAUGGAAUGUCUAAUGUUUUUUCCCCCAAAAUGACUGGAUUGAAGGGUCAGUCAUCCUAAAAUCAGGAUUCACAUUUGAUUUCUCAAUAGAAAAAGGAGAGGAUUUUUAGCAUUUUGGAUUUUGAGAUACUAUAUAAUCAACCAAAGGGACGGAUCUCCAAUCAAAAUGAGGUUUCUUUUAGAAACAGAUUAAGAAAAACAGGACUCAAAUGCAAGUACAAUAAAAAUUUCAUUAUCCAAUAAACUUAUCAUAUACAUUUUGUAUCCAAUUUUGGCCAAUGAUAUACUGUAGUAUGAAAAAAGGAGAAAAAAUCCAACCCGUCCCAAGUGCCCCAGCAUCCAAAUUUUUGGUCACUGGACAAUGGCCGGAUAUGUUUUGGCCAUUAGUUAUGUAUGGCAUGCGCGGGCUGUGGGGGGUGCAUGGUUGGACAUGAAAAAGCCAGGCAAUGCUGGACACAUAUUGAAGGAGCUGGGCUGGCACUUUACUCUCUUUCAUUGGCUAUCUGAUUGAUUCUCUCCUGGGAUAUGCUUUGGCUGCUGUGAUAGAACCAAUUUUAUCCUUGGCGUGAACUUUUUGUACAUCGUAUGCCUACUUUUUUUGAAACAUUUCCAAUUGUUUUGGUAGACGGCGGCGGAAUUGUUAGAGCUGAUGUUCCUUUUAGAAGGGCAUAAUUGAAGUAUAGUGUUGAACAAGUAGGUGUAACUGUUGAGUUCUGAACAUAAACAAUUCUAGUACUCCCCAAGUAUGGAGUAUAGUUUUCAUGCCACUAUUUAAUUGACAUGCAUAUCACGUAUCCAUGUUUGGGUCCCAAUUGAUUGGUGUGUACCCUCCUAUUUAAUACAUGUCGCAAGGAAUAUGAGUGCUCCAUACUAGAUUACUAGAAAUUUUCUUGACGGAAAAAUUUCACACGACAUUUUUAUACUCCAUGAAGUUCAUCAUUAUGUUCAAAUCUGAGCUUUGUUCUACGUGAAGAUAAUUAUCUCGUCUGCAAAUGCAAGAAGAGGUUUACUGAUAACAUUAUGGAUGGUAAAUAUUGUUUGUUUUCAAUUUUUUCAUAUUGUUUGAGCGUUUACUCGUUAUUUAAUUCAAUUUGCAUUUCCCCUAUUGUGAUUUUCUUUUUCUGUAGGAAGGUUAAUUGAAACAAGAAACUUACAUGUUUUGUUCCUUGAUCUUGUUUUUAGACUUGCAAUUAAUAUUAUUUGCUGGUUAUAUGCAUUUGUACAAAUCUCUGUAGCACAGACGCUUCAAUUAGGGUAGUGUGUCUGUAUCGAAUACGUGUCGAUAUCGAUACUUCUCGUCGACACUUCUCGGACACUCUUAUUAAAUAUUUUUCUUUUUUAUUAAAAAUAUUAUAUAUUUUAAUUCAAAAUUAUUAGUAAAUAACAAAUAUAUACUAUAUUUAAAGGAUUUAAACAAUAAAAGUUAAUAACAAGUUUAAGUGUAAAAGUAAAUUUAUAUUAUAUAAAUGAAGAAUUUUAAAGAAUUCAAUCAAUGUGUCGGUGACGUGUCCUAUUGGUACUUUUUUGAACAAUCGUGUGUCAACAUGUUCGACUCGUAUUGUUCAGGCAUAAGUGUCCAUGUCGGUGCAUCAUAAGUACAGAAUGUCACCUACUGCUAUAGUAUUACGUUAAACCUACGUGUCAUGUAUAGAAUAAAGACAUUCUAGUAUUAGUGAUAAAUUAAGAGUUUGUAGUCUUGGCAUUUAUAUUAGCAUGUGAUAAUCCCAUUCAUUGCCCAUUAAAAGCGAUUGUUUUUCUCUCCUGAAAUCUUCCUUUGUUGGAGUGUAAUUGCUCUGGAAGCAGGAAAAUAAUUGUUCUGUCUUGUGAAUAUAAUCUGUAUCUGGGAAGGCUAUGAAAGCUGAUGAAAAGUUGUGAUAAAUAUAAAUUUUCUGGGGGAUUUCUUGUAUAUCUGAGAGGAGAGCAUAAGUAGCCCCACCCCCAAACAGUUGUUCGGGCUACAUGGUGGCUGUUGAUGUGGGAAUGUCAUGGAGGGGAUAUUUAGCUGCUGUUUCCCGUGUUGUUGGCUUGAUUUAUACUGGAUUAUGUAUUAUUAUUAGUCAUUCAUCACUAACGUAGUAGUAGAGAUUCUCUCAUAUAUCAACGAGACCCCUUGAAGGAGUGUGGUAGAACGUUUUGUUGUAUGUAGAACAUUUUUGUUUAAAUUGGAUUCAAGUGUUUACAUAAAUGAUCUCCAGAGGAAAUUGAGUA